Non-coding RNA from Mycena maculata, 102 nucleotides. NCBI's taxonomy places the organism in Eukaryota, Fungi, Basidiomycota, Agaricomycetes, Agaricales, Mycenaceae. The record is from the annotation of a GenBank genome assembly.
GCUCUGGUGGUCUAGUAGAAUGAUACGCGCUUUGGGCUGUAUUAGGUGUUACCCUAUAUUCUCAGUUGCGCGGGGUCCCGGGUUCAAAUCCCGGCCAGGGUC